RNAcentral lists this long non-coding RNA (1250 nucleotides) under Mustela putorius furo (domestic ferret). Its description in RNAcentral is "lncRNA (ENSMPUG00000026586.1)". Lineage: Eukaryota; Metazoa; Chordata; Mammalia; Carnivora; Mustelidae. The record is from RNAcentral.
UUCAACAAGGGCUAUUGUCUCUGCCAGCCAUGGGGUUUCAUUCAUUCCGAAGAUGUCACGGGGGGGUUUUGGAAUGUGUGUCCCUACCUUCCUGAUUUUCUGCCAUAUUCCAGCCCCCCUGGCUAAUGCAAUGUGGAGCGACAGGGGAGCACCUGGGGUCUUCACGUACCUCUCUCUUCAGGCUCUCUCCUAGCUUUGCCUGUGCGUGGAAAUGUCAACAAGGAAGAUCAAUGGAGGCAAAAAACCAGGAGAUCCCAUAAAUCCCGUUGAACCUGUCACGGCGGCCAAAUUAUGCUCUGAUAAAGCUUUUGGUGGCUAACGAUAUGGCCGUUCACCUGCAUGGAUGCGACUGGGAGGGGCCUUUCUGGAGAGCAUCCGGCCCACGGUGGAGACACUUGUCAGAGAGUGUUAUCCGAAGCCUCUUUGUCUCUAAUGAAGGGUGAGGCUUUGAACGUGAUUAUUUCUAAACAAAUAAAUAAUAAGGAUAAUUUAAAAAUAAACAAAGAUCUGGAUUUAAAGGCUACUUAUUGUCCCAGGACCAAGAUUAAUGAGUUCUGGCCAGAAGAUUUCCCAGGACCUCACAGGACUUAACACUUUCUUCAACCAGCCUUUUAAUAUCAAGUAUCAAAUAUCCACCCGUGAAUAUAUAGCGGGUGUGCCCAAUGCCCACAGGAUAAGUGAGUCAGGGCCACGUGGCUCCAUCUUUCCCGUGGAAAUACCUGGUUGGGAUAAGUCUGUGCCGGUCAUUACCCUUGCUGGAGCCCAGACAGGGUCAUCUGGCAGCAGCAGGGAGACAGCGGCGUGGAGCAGCGGGCUGGAAGCUGAGACAAGAUUCCAGCACGAGGGCGGUUUCCUGGAAGACGCCUGGUGCAGAAGCUCCGUCUCUACAUCCCAUGAGUACCUUGCAAAGCUUCCCUUUCCCUGGCCUUGACCUACAGGAGCUUUGAAAAGAGGCUUACCUUUUUAAGAUUUUUUCCCCGUCCUGUUCUAUCAAAAUAACGUACACACACAGCAACAAAUAAGUAGAAAAGAGAUAAUGUUCAAAAGCAACCUUCUCCCCCGACACCUCCCAGCCCUCCCCCUAGAGUGACUUUACCUGUUCCUUGUUUUAAUUCUUCCAGAGUUUCCCCCCACCGUGCUGCUCUAGGAUUACGCCCCUACUGCUGGAUUUGUCAAUUUGACUUUAUCUUUUUGAUAUCAAUUUAUCUUUUGACUCCUAAUGGGGAAGAUGAGGUUGAGCUCACCUAACU